This 468-nucleotide ribosomal RNA is filed under the name uncultured bacterium. Its description in RNAcentral is "partial 16S ribosomal RNA". It matches the Rfam family "Bacterial small subunit ribosomal RNA", at positions 28 to 507 of the family's 1533-position model. The record is from RNAcentral.
GACGAACGCUGGCGGCGUGCUUAACACAUGCAAGUCGAACGGAAAGGCCCUGCUUUUGUGGGGUGCUCGAGUGGCGAAAGGGUGAGUAAUACGUGAGUAACCUGCCCUUGACUUUGGGAUAACUUCAGGAAACUGGGGCUAAUACCGGAUAGGAGCUCCUGCUGCAUGGUGGGGGUUGGAAAGUUUCGGCGGUUGGGGAUGGACUCGCGGCUUAUCAGCUUGUUGGUGGGGUAGUGGCUUACCAAGGCUUUGACGGGUAGCCGGCCUGAGAGGGUGACCGGCCACAUUGGGACUGAGAUACGGCCCAGACUCCUACGGGAGGCAGCAGUGGGGAAUAUUGCACAAUGGGCGGAAGCCUGAUGCAGCAACGCCGCGUGCGGGAUGACGGCCUUCGGGUUGUAAACCGCUUUCGCCUGUGACGAAGCGUGAGUGACGGUAAUGGGUAAAGAAGCACCGGCUAACUACGUG